This 387-nucleotide ribosomal RNA is filed under the name uncultured bacterium. Its description in RNAcentral is "bacterial SSU rRNA". It matches the Rfam family "Bacterial small subunit ribosomal RNA", at positions 29 to 416 of the family's 1533-position model. The record is from RNAcentral.
AACGAACGCUGGCGGCAUGCCUAACACAUGCAAGUCGAACGGCAGCGCGGGGCAACCUGGCGGCGAGUGGCGAACGGGUGAGUAACAUAUCGGAACAUACCCUAGAGUGGGGGAUAACGUAGCGAAAGUUACGCUAAUACCGCAUACGCACUAAGGUGGAAAGUGGGGGAUCUUCGGACCUCAUGCUCAUGGAGUGGCCGAUAUCUGAUUAGCUAGUUGGUGAGGUAAAGGCUCACCAAGGCGACGAUCAGUAGCUGGUUUGAGAGAACGACCAGCCACACUGGAACUGAGACACGGUCCAGACUCCUACGGGAGGCAGCAGUGGGGAAUUUUGGGACAAGUGGGGGCAACCCGUGAUCCAGCAAUGCCGCGUGCAGGAAGAAGGCC